This 756-nucleotide ribosomal RNA is filed under the name uncultured bacterium. RNAcentral describes it as "bacterial SSU rRNA". It matches the Rfam family "Bacterial small subunit ribosomal RNA", at positions 65 to 811 of the family's 1533-position model. The record is from RNAcentral.
CACGGCAGCACGGGAGCAAUCCUGGUGGCGAGUGGCGAACGGGUGAGUAAUAUAUCGGAACGUGCCCAGUCGUGGGGGAUAACGCAGCGAAAGCUGUGCUAAUACCGCAUACGAUCUCUGGAUGAAAGCGGGGGACUCGUAAGAGCCUCGCGCGAUUGGAGCGGCCGAUAUCAGAUUAGCUAGUUGGUGGGGUAAAGGCCCACCAAGGCGACGAUCUGUAGCUGGUCUGAGAGGACGACCAGCCACACUGGAACUGAGACACGGUCCAGACUCCUACGGGAGGCAGCAGUGGGGAAUUUUGGACAAUGGGCGCAAGCCUGAUCCAGCAAUGCCGCGUGCAGGAUGAAGGCCUUCGGGUUGUAAACUGCUUUUGUACGGAACGAAAAGGUCUGCCUUAAUACGGUGGGCCCAUGACGGUACCGUAAGAAUAAGCACCGGCUAACUACGUGCCAGCAGCCGCGGUAAUACGUAGGGUGCGAGCGUUAAUCGGAAUUACUGGGCGUAAAGCGUGCGCAGGCGGUUAUAUAAGACAGAUGUGAAAUCCCCGGGCUCAACCUGGGACCUGCAUUUGUGACUGUAUAGCUAGAGUACGGUAGAAGGGGGGGAUGGAAUUCCGCGUGUAGCAGUGAAAUGCGUAGAUAUGCGGAGGAACACCGAUGGCGAAGGCAAUCCCCUGGACCUGUACUGACGCUCAUGCACGAAAGCGUGGGGAGCAAACAGGAUUAGAUACCCUGGUAGUCCACGCCCUAAACGAUG